CGAGCGCGGGUGCUUUGGCAAGAAAGAGAGGGGGUUAGGAAGUAUCAUCUAGUUAACUGGCUUGACGUUUGUCAACCUAGAGACCAAGGGGGGUUGGGUGUUACUAAUCUAGAUAUCAAGAAUAUUAGUCUUUUGUGUAAGUGGCUCUGGAGACUUGAGAAUGAAGAUGGGGAUUGGCAGGAGAUGAUUAGAGCAAAGUAUUUGAAGAGGAAAACUCUGUCUCAAUGUGAGUCAUCUCCUGCCAACUCUCAUUUCUGGAAUGGUAUCAUGAGUGUUAAAGAUAUCUUUUACAACUGUUGUCAGAGAAUUGUUGGGGAUGGGCAUAAAACUAGAUUUUGGGAAGAUGCUUGGAUCCACAACAAGCCUCUCUGUCAACUUUUU
RNAcentral lists this ribosomal RNA (381 nucleotides) under Triticum aestivum (bread wheat). Its description in RNAcentral is "partial small subunit ribosomal RNA". Lineage: Eukaryota; Viridiplantae; Streptophyta; Magnoliopsida; Poales; Poaceae. The record is from RNAcentral.